CCUACGGGUGACAGCAGUGAGGAAUAUUGGUCAAUGGACGAGAGUCUGAACCAGCCAAGUAGCGUGAAGGAUGACUGCCCUAUGGGUUGUAAACUUCUUUUAUAAAGGAAUAAAACGAGGCACGUGUGCCUUUUUGCAUGUACUUUAUGAAUAAGGAUCGGCUAACUCCGUGCCAGCAGCCGCGGUAAUACGGAGGAUCCGAGCGUUAUCCGGAUUUAUUGGGUUUAAAGGGAGCGUAGAUGGGUUGUUAAGUCAGUUGUGAAAGUUUGCGGCUCAACCGUAAAAUUGCAAUUGAUACUGGCAGUCGUGAGUACAGUUGAGGUAGGCGGAAUUCGUGGUGUAGCGGUGAAAUGCUUAGAGAUCACGAAGAACCCCGAUUGCGAAGGCAGCUUACUAAACUGUGACUGACAUUGAUGCUCGAAAGUGUGGGUAUCAAACAGGAUUAGAUACCCGGGUAGUC
Molecule: ribosomal RNA, 460 nt
Filed under: uncultured bacterium
Lineage: Bacteria
Description: partial 16S ribosomal RNA
Rfam family: Bacterial small subunit ribosomal RNA
Source: RNAcentral